UAGGGAAUCUUCCGCAAUGGACGAAAGUCUGACGGAGCAACGCCGCGUGAGUGAUGAAGGUCUUCGGAUCGUAAAACUCUGUUGUUAGGGAAGAACAGGUAUAGGAGUCACUGGCGGUACC
RNAcentral lists this ribosomal RNA (121 nucleotides) under uncultured Bacillus sp. Its description in RNAcentral is "partial 16S ribosomal RNA". It matches the Rfam family "Bacterial small subunit ribosomal RNA", at positions 355 to 479 of the family's 1533-position model. The record is from RNAcentral. Lineage: Bacteria; Bacillati; Bacillota; Bacilli; Caryophanales; Bacillaceae.